GCCCGCCUAGCUCAAUCGGAUAGAGCGUCAGACUCUUAACGUCUGGGUGGGAUCGUCCCUCACAAGUUAUAAAUCUGAAGGCUGCGAGUUCGACCCUCGCGGUGGGCU
Coprinopsis sp. MPI-PUGE-AT-0042 is the source of this 108-nucleotide non-coding RNA. Lineage: Eukaryota; Fungi; Basidiomycota; Agaricomycetes; Agaricales; Psathyrellaceae. The record is from the annotation of a GenBank genome assembly.